CAGUCUUCAUACAAUGAAGAAGUUCUUUGAGACCAGGACUGAGGUCUCCAGGAUUCAAACUUCAACUGUUAAAUCACAGAGAGAAGAGACAGAUGGGAAGACAUUUCCAGAAGGUGACACAGUCGUUCUCCUUCUCCUCCUCCUCCUCCUCCUGCAGAGACAGAACAUGUUAAUUACUGAGACAGUCCAAAAACUUUAAUAUAUGUAUUAAAAUGUUUAUAUAAAGAAAAGAACAGUUUAAUUAGCCCUCAACUUCCAUUUUUUUAAAACUAUUUUUCAUGCCUUACUACAGUAUGACAUUUUUUGAUGAUUUUUGACACCUUACUAUACUAUGACAUUUUUUGACGAUUUUUUACACCUUACUAUACUAUGACAUUUUUUGACCAUUUUUGACACCUUACUAUACUAUGACAUUUUUUGACACCUUAUAUACUAUGACGUUUUUUGACCAUUUUUGACACCUUACUAUACUAUGACAUUUUUUGACCAUUUUUGACACCUUACUAUACUAUGACAUUUUUUGACGAUUUUUGACAACUUACUAUACUAUGACAAUUUUUGAUGAUUUUUGACACCUUACUAUACUAUGACAUUUUUUGACCAUUUUUGACGCCUUAUAUACUAUGACAUUUUUUGACCAUUUUUGACACCUUACUAUACUAUGACAUUUUUUGACCAUUUUUAAUGCCUUAUUAUACUAUGACGUUUUUUGAUGAUUUUUGACAUCUUACUAUACUAUGACAUUUUUUGACACCUUACUAUACUAUGACAUUUUUUGAUGGUUUUUGACACCUUACUAUACUAUGACAUUUUUUGACCGUUUUUGACACCAUACUAUACUAUGACAUUUUUUGAUGAUUUUUGACAUCUUACUAUACUAUGACAUUUUUUGACCAUUUUUGACACCUUACUAUACUAUGACAUUUUUUGACAUUUUUGACACCUUACUAUACUAUGACAUUUUUUGAUGAUUUUUGACAUCUUACUAUACUAUGUCAUUUUUUGACCGUUUUUGACACCUUAUUAUACUAUGACGUUUUUUGACCAUUUUUGACACUUAACUAUACUAUGACAUUUUUUGACCAUUUUUGACACCUUACUAUACUAUGACAUUUUUUGACCAUUUUUGACACCUUACUAUACUAUGACAUUUUUUGUUGAUUUUUGACACCUUACUAUACUAUGACGUUUUUUGACAUUUUUGACACUUAAUUAUACUAUGACAUUUUUUGACGCCUUACUAUACUAUGACAUUUUUUGACCAUUUUUGACACCAUACUAUACUAUGACAUUUUUUGACACCUUACUACACUAUGACAUUUUUUGACCAUUUUUGACACCUUACUAUACUAUGACAAUUUUUGACCAUUUUUCAUGUCUUACUAUACUAUGAUAUUUUUUGACAAUUUUUGACACAUUACUAUACUAUGACAAUUUUUGACCAUUUUUCAUGUCUUACUAUACAAUGACAUUUUUUGAUGGUUUUUGACACCUUACUAUACUAUGACAUUUUUUGAUGGUUUUUGACACCUUACUAUACUAUGACAUUUUUUGAUGGUUUUUGAAACCUUACUAUACUAUGACAUUUUUUGACCAUUUUUCAUGUCUUACUAUACUAUGACAUUUUUUGAUGGUUUUUGACACCUUACUAUACUAUGACAUUUUUUGAUGGUUUUUGACAUCUUACUAUACUAUGACAUUUUUUGACUAUUUUUCAUGUCUUACUAUACUAUGACAUUUUUUGAUGGUUUUUGACACCUUACUAUAGUAUGACAAUUUUUGACCAUUUUUCAUGUCCUACUAUACUAUGACAAUUUUUGACGCCUUACGAUAUCAUGACAAUUCUUGACCAUUUUUCAUGUCCUACUAUACUAUGACAAUUUUUGACGCCUUACGAUAUCAUGACAAUUCUUGACCAUUUUUCAUGUCUUACUACACUAUGACAUUUUUUGACCAUUUUUCAUGUCUUACUAUACUAUGACAUUUUUUGACAAUUUUUGACACAUUACUGUACUAUGACAUUUUUUGACAAUUUUUGACAUUUUACCAUACUAUAACAUUUUUUGACCAUUUUUGACAUCUUACCAUACUAUAACAUUUUUUGACAAUUUUUGACACCUUACUAUAGUAUGACAAUUUUUGACCAUUUUUCAUGUCCUACUAUACUAUGACAAUUUUUGACGCCUUACGAUAUCAUGACAUUUUUUGACCAUUUUUGACCAUUUUUCAUGCCUUACUAUACUAUGACAAUGUUUGACCACACACCUCUACACAAUGUUUGUAAGUUAGGUUAUGUUUUUGUGUUUGUGUAUUGUUCAAAUAAAUACUUCUGAACCCUGAA
This is a long non-coding RNA of Lates calcarifer (barramundi perch), 2341 nucleotides long. RefSeq lists it as uncharacterized. The transcript has 3 exons. The record is from RefSeq and is a predicted model, not a curated record. NCBI's taxonomy places the organism in Eukaryota, Metazoa, Chordata, Actinopteri, Centropomidae.